RNAcentral lists this long non-coding RNA (2760 nucleotides) under Camponotus floridanus (Florida carpenter ant). RNAcentral's name for it is "uncharacterized LOC105250872, transcript variant X4". Lineage: Eukaryota; Metazoa; Arthropoda; Insecta; Hymenoptera; Formicidae. The record is from RNAcentral.
CGGCCGGUUCGCCCCGAGCCGCGGCGGCGGCGCCCGAGGCCGCCCGAAUUCGGCCGGAAGUUGGAAGCCGUCGCCUGCGCGCACGCGAGACGAGGAGGGAGAGGGGGGGAGAGAGGGGCGCGUCGGAGCUUUGUACUUUCCGCCCGUCUCAUCGGGAAUUCCUGCCGGAAUCGCACACUGCCGCCAUGGCCGAUCCUUUAUCCGCUCGUGCACGUACUUUGUACGUAUGCACGUGCGGCGCACGAGUGUAGAAUGUGUAGAUGCCGAUGAGCAGGUAUGCGCGCAUGUGUGUACGGCUCAUACGAGGGCGUGUGCGUGAAUCCGCACGGGCCACCGACCGCGGCUCGACCGAAAUUUUCUUCGCAAUUGGCGUUAAAGAUCGUUGCUGGCCGGUCAUGGACAAAGCCGUGGAUGAAAUUUCGGCUGGACGGAAGUGUAAAUGAGAAAAGGGCGGCUGGGAUCGAAAAGGGGGGAGAUUUUAUCGGGGAGAAAGAGGGGGGGGAGACAUGAAAGGACACGCUGCUGCAUUUUUUCGCUGCGGAAUUGAAAGGGAUAAAAAGUUGACGCCUCUCGUGCCUCUCUCGAUUAUUCGCUUCACACGUGAUUCCAAUAAAAAUUUAAAUUGACAUGAAGAAAAUGCGACGGAAUGCUUCGUCAAGGACCAGAGAAUCAUUCUAUGCUCGUCUGGUCAAUUUUAUGCGUUCGUCGGCCAGUCUCGAGAAUCAUCGCUGCAGUCACGUGUAAUUUUAGACGAAAAUUUCGAGAAAACGAGCGCGAUUUUCGCGAACGCUCCUCGCUCUUCGGGGAUCCUCCACCAAACUUCCCGAAUUAGAAAUGCGGAGGAGACGAGACAAAUAUAGAGGGUGUCCCAGAUUCAUCGCAGUUCCUUUCACGUGCUAUUCACGAUCGGUUCUUCGAGCGGCUCCCAUAUUAGGUACAUAAAUCAGCGCCUGCUUUCUUCAAGUGUGGUCUGCGAGCCGUCUUUUACGUAACCGCGGAUCGGCAUCUCGAUCUAUUUCUCGAUUCGACGUAGCGAUCGUCUCACGCAUAAGCCAUAGACAUCCCAGCGCCACCUUCGUGUCCUGCAAAUUCUAACGUCUGCGAGGGCAGCGCGCAAACACGUUUUCGCAAUCGAUAUUAUCCCGGGUUGAAAGGACGAGGAUACGCAAAAAGGAUUCUCCUCUGAUCGGGGAACCGAGAGAAGGAGAGCUCCUUCUCCCUAUCAAACUGUCAUUGAAUGACGUCAUCGGGGAGAGCAAAUCGUUGGAGCGUUAACGCGAAGAAGCGACAAGAGAGACGCAGACAAGUUCAAGAACAAUCUACUUGGAAACUUCUUCGCGGGAUUAUUCGAGGGACCUAGAUUUUCGGAAUACACGUGUUUCCGGUAAACGAAUCUUCCAAUUCGAUUCGACGUGUAUGCUCGAUUGGUUGACACGCUUUCGAGAGAAUCGCCUUAUUGAUUAGACGCGCGGCAGGCGGCCAAGUGUAAACCUCGCAAUGGCUGAUUAUUCGCUCGGCAUUACCAGGUGUAUCAAAUGCUAAUGCGCGGCGAAGCAAGGUACUCGAGCAUCUGCUUAAGCGGCCCUUCGCGAGCGUCUCUCACUUGGGGCCCAAUCUCCCAUCGCACAUUUCAACGACUCAAUUCGCGGUUGCACAAUCGCCUCCGACUUCGUCUGCUUAUCGUCCGAUUUAUUCGACGAUCUUGAUAUUCAUUCUGAAUCGAAAAUGAAUCCCAGAUUAAUGUGGCGCAUGAAUCUUAUAUUGGUUUUAAUCCCGGUUCCCAUUAAAAGAAAUACCAAAUAUGCAGUACAAUCGGAUUAUCUCGCGUACGCAAACCAGUUUCAAAUUCAAUUAAAACUAUGGAAUUCAACUCGUAUCGAAUUUUUUGUAAUAAGUAGAGAACAAAAGUAAUUAUUGGAGUAAAAUAAAAUUACAUUAAUAUGAAGCUCCGAUAGCUCAUAAGUUUUCGUCAAGUGUCAAAAUUCAUAUUUUUCUCAGAAGGAUGAACGUUUUACAUUUUUUAUCCAAAUAUAUGAAAGAAGUUAUAUUUCUCCUCGGGAUGCACGGGAACAAGCAAAACCACUUUCGGAUAACGCGAGCUUUUCGCCUUUCCUCGUUUUCUGUUUAUUACUUUUUCUAUCGUUAAAACGUAUACUCUCUCGAGCAAUAUUUAUAUCCUUCUAGCGCGACUUCUCUUUUGCAUUUCGCGACGUGUAUAACGUAGGGAACGACUAUCCGUCCGUCUCCCCCGCUCACCCUGCGCGCUUUCGUUCUCGCCUCUCCCUCGAAACGACUAUAGAGACUAUUCGCAUCGGCCAUAUCAGCCGGUGCCAAUAACGUACCGGGCAGAUGGGAGAUGUGGUGAGGACCGGGUGGUUGUUGGACCGACCGUCGAACGGACGGGGGUGGCGGGGACAGCCGGGGGGUGCUUUACCAUCCGCAGACUCGUAUUCAUCGAUCACCGCGCCCGGAUAAUUAUAGCGUUUCGCCAAACUCGCGCUCCUCGAAAGGCCGAUGAUCGCGAUUACGCUCUGAGAAUGAAAUUAUACAUGUAUUCUCGCGAAACACUUUUGUAUUUUUUGCAAUUUUAACGAAAAUUUCCGGAAUUUUCAUGAGAAAAAGUCAAUCGAUGAAAAUAUACACAGAGUGUUUCUUAAUAAGUGCGAAAAAUUUCAAGAGAUGAUUCUUUGUCGAAAAUUAAGGAGGGUUUUUAUAUAAACAUAUACUCCUGCAUCCCUUCCUGUGAGUUGCGUUCUUCCA